GAAAUUUCUGUUGGACAGAUGGAACUGCUUAAAGACUAUCAUGCAAUGUUUUGUUUUGUAUUCCUUACUCUGCAGCCCUGCUUCUCCCAGCCACUGUCUACUGUACCCAAUACACUUUGACACAGAAUAAAGUCAAAUGCCUAUAUUAUGUGAACACUGAGGGCUGGUUACUUUUGAAAUCUUUUCUUCCCUGCAGCAUUUUUUUAAAUAAUUGUUUUUUUUAUGGAUACCUUUGACUUGUGACGGGACUGAGACUUUCCUGCAGAUGGUCUGAGGGUUAUUUUGCCUCCCUUCGCCUUUGUCCUCUGUACGGUGGAUAAGAAUUCCUUCCUUUGAAGAAAAGAGUGAUUUAAAACAGGAAAAACAGACAGGAAAGGUUUCAGCCACUGUCUGGAGUUAUGGGCUGUGGCAUUGACUGAUUUCUGAAACACUAAUAUUAAUUAGCUUAACUACAAACCAUCUGAACAGCUCAGACCUUCCACUGAGCCAUUGUGAGGCCUGCAGCAACGAUUGGCUGAUGCCACAGAGCCACAUAAAAGGCUGAAUCAACACUAAAAGCUGUGGACCAAGCCCCUCGGAAGGUUCCGGAAGCAUAACGGAGGAACUAAGGGGAUGCCGGCAGGGGUGAAGAGGGCAGCCCCACAUUCCCCGCCAGCUUAACAGGGCUGCCCAGCAGGAGAGAGCUCGUUUUCUUUCAUCUUGCGGCCAGUCGUUGGGGGUCGCUGGGGGUCCGGCCUCCUCAGUAUGCCUGCAGCACAGCCCGAGAUCUGGUUCCUUUGGGGAAUACAUGCAAACAUCUGGGCUGCUCUCUGCUCCUGCCAGCUAAACUUUCAGCAAAAACCUGUCCAGGACCUUAGGAUGGUGAGGGGGUGACUGCUGAGCAUUUAAAUAAAGAGCAAAGAUAAGUAUUUGUAUCCUGUCUGUCUCUUUCACUUCUUUCCUUCCAUACUUAUUGCAGUGUGGUUCUCAAAACAGUAGAGAUGCAUCUACAGCUGCCUCUGAAAAGGUGUCUGUUGUUUCUUCAGGACAUUGUGGCAUAUUAAUGUCCUGUUUCUGCAGCAUUCAGAAGAACAAGCUUGAAUUUUGAUUAAUUGUGAGCGAGAGGAAGCCUGGAAUCUAGAUCAGCUAGAUGUUUGUUUCAGAGCAGGAAGGCCGAACUACUAAACGUGGGCAAUACAGACAGUGGUCAGAGCUGCAAGAUCAUCACCCCACAUCAUGCUUGGUGAAAGGUGGACAUCUUCCCUUGCCUUUCCACGAAUGUGCUGCACUAUUUCUGUCAUUUAUUAGGGAUGAUGCCUUUGGCGUGAUGAAGAAUGCAGAUGAGCACUACAAAAUAGACUUCAGCUGGUAACAUGGGAAUACAAGGAGUUUUUGACGAUAUGGAAUAGUUGGGGGGGGUCAUUUCCUUUAACCUAGACUGACCCAUAAUUACCAAAAAUCAAUGUGCGCUUUUGACACAAACUGAAUACCAGCUCUAUGUUUGCAAUUCCAUGAAACACCGAUCUUGGUAUUUUGAUGCAGAUUUAUGUUGGUCUAUAUUUCUCCUCUGCUCAGUGUCUCUGACACCUGAAAGACAGAAUGUAUGUCCUCAGGGGAGGAUGUGACAGAACCGUAACAGGAAACAUCCUCCUAUCAUUGCCAACACCCCCCUGAGGUCAUCCAGUUUAACCCUUUACUUCCUGCAAAAAAAAACCCGUGUAAAGAAAUUAAAGAACAGGAAUUUGGAACAGGAAAAUUAAACAGGAUUUAUAUAUUUUUUGUAAUUUAUUGCACAUUAAGUAAUAUGCAAUAAAUGAUAUUUAAAAAUACUUGCAGAUUGUGUGUAGUACCUCCUGCUGUUUCUUGUAAUAAGAAUUAAAUAUUAUCAGAUGUAUUAUUUUUUCUUAUUUGCCUCUUUUCUGAUUAUGCAGCCGUUAAACUACAUUCGUCAGAAAUCCUAAGGAAAGACUGAACACAUCCAUAGCCCACAUCAUCCCCCAAAGGAAUCUUAAUCCCACGACUGACCUUCUAAGCUUCAUCAGUCCCGGCACCUUUCAUACCGAACGUCUACCUUCAGAGCCAGGAUGGAGAUGUUCCUGCUCUGGAGAGGAUUCUCAUCCCUGCUUGGUCUCUUUCCACUCUGCUGGGCACAGAGUCUUGUCCAGCUGAAUGUAGGACUGCAGGUUGGUCGUGGGCAGUUUGUUUACGUGACCGGCGAGGAUCUACGGUUUGAUGUCCAAUAUAACGUGACAUCCUGCAAGGUGGAGGUGGUGAUGAACGAGCCCGUGACGCAAAGAGUGGGCGUGUUCACUCCCCAGGUUUUCGACUGCCACUUCUUGCCAGAUGAAGUUAAAUACACCCAUAAUGGCAGCCCAUUGCUGCAGGAGGACACGGUCAUGCUGAGAAUCUAUAGGUUUACCGAUUCCGAGACUUUCAUAGAACCUGUGUCAGUGAGGGUCAGGGUUGUUGAGCCCCACAACAGUCUUAUCAAGUUUGGGAGCGUGCCUGUGGAGGUUCAGAAGUUCUACGGCCUGUCCAACACCUUGGACAGCAGAGUUCUAACAUUCCAGAACAGACCGGGAUAUAUUUGUAAUGUCAGACUCCUCACUUCUGAAACUAACAUGCCAGCACUUGGGCAACUGGUCACAGAUGAUUCCGUCAGCACAGUCCCAACGACAGAUAUGGAGCAGACACCUACAUCCAACACAGGGCCCAGAAGAGGCCGGCAGACAGGACUCCUAUGCCCUGGAAAUAAGCCCUGUGCCCGCAAUGCUAAGGAAGUCAAUUUCCUGAAGGUCAACUGUGAGGAAUUUCUUAAUUCUCACUUCAAGUACCAGCACCUCAGCCCUCCGUCCCCCGAGACUGACUACAUCCCUAUCAGGGUGGAGCUACGGGACCACAGCUCAAGGGCUCUUUUGGAGGCUGAGAGUGUUUGGAUCCCAGUCCUGAUCCGGGGUGCCUUACAAAACCAGCCUCCCCAUGCCGCGUUCAUGUCUAUGUUCAUCCUGGAGGUGGACCAGUUCAUCCUCACCCCCAUGACCACGGCCGCGCUCGACGCCAAGGACGAUGAGACUCCACAAGCACAGCUUGUUUUCAAUGUCACCAAACCCCCAUCUGAGGGAUACAUCACGCACUUAGAAGACCACACCAAACCAAUCACCUCCUUCACCUGGCAGGAUCUCCACGAGAUGAAGAUCGCCUACCAGCCCCCCAACUGCAGUCACACUGGCAGAAGGAACUAUGAGGUAGAAUUCCAAGCCAUCGACAGUACAUUUGUCCCUAGUCCUGCCAUCAUGGUUCACUUCUCAGUACGGACGGCAGAGACAAAUGCCCCUCGUGUCUCCUGGAAUAUGGGCAUGGAUCUGCUGGAGGGUCAAUCCAGACCAAUCACCUGGGAGAAUUUGCAAAUUGUGGACAGUGACAACAUUGGGGCGGUGUACCUGGUGGCUGUGGAAGGCCCUUUACAUGGACAACUGAGUGUUCGAGGUGGGAAAGGCUUUAUGUUCAAGGUGCAUGACCUGCACGAGGGCGUGGUUGUGUACCAUCACUCGGACAGCGACACCACCCGCGACCACAUCGUGUUCCGCAUCACCGAUGGCCAGCACAGCAUCCGGCACCGAUUCCCCAUCAACAUCCUCCCCAAAGACGACACGCCCCCGAUCCUGAUCAACAACAUGGCUCUCGAGGUGCCCGAGGGGGGCUCGCUCCUGCUGGAGGAGUACAUGCUGUUGGCUUCAGAUCUGGACUCCAGUGAUGACUACAUCCUGUACCAGAUACUAACAGCCCCGCGGGCAGGCGAGGUCAUCAGGAGGUCAUCUCCCCAGCUCCCAGGAGUGCUGGUGACUAGCUUCCUGCAGAGGGACCUUCUCCUUGGCCUGAUCUACUACAGACACCUAGGAGACGAGGUCUUUGAAGACUCCUUUGACUUCAUCCUCUCCGACAGCCACCAGCCACCAAACUUAUCCCAAAGACAUACGGUGGUGGUUCACGUCUCUCCAGUGAAGGACCAGCUGCCGCACGAGGUUCCCGGCGUCGUUCGCUCGGUCACGGUCAAGGAGACCGAGGUCAUCCACCUCACUCAGAGCCACCUGCACUUCAGAGACCCAGAAUCCCCCGACACAGACCUGAUCUACUCCAUCACCCGGCCCUGCUUCAGCCCCACAGCUGCCUGGUUAGCAGAUGCUGGCAGGCUUUUCUAUGCUGACAGUGCACUCUCCAUGAAGAAGGACCCUGCUCUUCCAGUACUGAAGACUUUCACUCAGCAUGCAGUGAACCACCUGAAGGUGGGGUACAUGCCUCCACUUGAAGACAUUGGACCAGAGCCCAUCUUUGUGCAGUUUGUUUUCUCUGUGAGUGACCAGCAGGGCGGCGCACUCAGCGGCCUUGUCUUCAAUAUCACAGUUACGCCAGUGGACAAUCAGCCUCCUGAGAUAUUUGUCAACCUCCUACGACUCGAGGAGGGAGGAGGCGUGUUUCUAACAGAGGAGCACAUCCUGGUGCGGGACGCGGACAGCCGGGGGGAUCAGCUCUUGGUGCGGCUGCGGACGGCACCUGAGCACGGAAGGGUUGAGCUGCAGGGGGUACCGCUGACGGAGGGGUACAGCUUCACCAUACAGGACCUGCGGAUGCUCCGGGUCAGAUACAUCCAUGACGACAGCGAGACCCUGGAAGAUGCCAUAGGCUUCACGGCGACAGAUGGCACCAACUCCGCUGACGGCCGGCUGCCCGUGCAGAUCCUUCCCGUAAAUGACCAGCCACCCCUGCUUGGCUUGGGGCUGCGUUCAGGGCUGACCUGCAAGGAGGGGGGGCGCGUGCAAAUCACCGGCGAGAACCUUUUCGCCACGGACGCGGACAGCGACGACGCCCGUCUCUCCUACAUGCUGGUGCGUGAGCCCGCCCUGGGGGAGAUCCAGAGGGGCGGCGUCAUGGUGGACAAGUUCACACAGCAGGAUGUCAUCCAGGAACUGAUCUUCUAUGUGCACACAGGAGGUGAGAUCGGACCCCAUCCUGUGUCCGACCCUGUCACCUUAAUCGUGUCGGACGGAGAGGCUGGAGCUCCGGAGGGCUGUUGCCAUGGAGAUGCACCACCUGUCCCCCUGCACGGAUUCCUUCCUGUAUAUGACCUUAACAUCACCGUCCUUCCUGUCAACAACCAGGCCCCUGUCAUAACGAUUGGGCACAUGUUUAUGGUUGACGAGGGGUCCGUCGCCUGCCUCUGUGGUGGCUUCCUGGGAGCCACCGACGCUGAUUCCCCCCAGGACCAGCUCCUGUUUUCCCUGGAUCUCCCCCCAGAACACGGCUUCAUAGAAAACACCCUGCCCUCGCCCGGAUUCGAGAAGAGCAACGCCGGGCUCGGAGUGGUCUCUUUCAGCUUUCCGCACCUCAGCGCCGGGUACAUUAACUACGUCCAGGCUCGGCACCGGGGGGUGGAGGCCACGGUGGACCGCUUUGUGGUCAGAGUCAGCGACGGGGUGCAGAAGUCAGCCCCCGUCCCCUUCUACGUCAUCAUCAACCCCACGAAUGACGAGGAGCCGUCCCUGUUGCUCGGCAACUUUUCUGUGGCAGAGGGAGGGAUGAAGGAUCUGGGCCCGGACCUUUUGGAUGCGGUGGACCUGGACGUACCUGCAGACACCCUAACCUUCUCGGUCCUAGUGCCCCCAGCCCACGGGAUGCUGCUGAACGGCAUCUAUGGCCUGCAGAUGAGCCGCUACCUGGAGAUGGAGCAGGGCCUCCUCCAGCGUACCCUGCUCGUGAAGUCCUUCACUAUUCAGCAGCUUCGGCAAGGAAUGAAGAUCAUAUACAUGCACGAUGACACAGAAACCUUCAAGGACGCUUUCAGCAUGCAGCUGACAGAUGGCAUACGCGCAGUCCAGGGGACGGCACACGUCCGCGUCCUACCAGUCAAUGAUGAAAAGCCAUGGCUGCGGAGAAAUACUGGUCUGGAGCUGGUGGCUGCGGACAGGAGAGUCAUCUCCAGUGUGCUGUUAGAGGUGGAAGAUGCAGACACCCCAGCCCAUGAGCUCCUCUACGUCCUCAGCGCCGGCCCCCGGUUCGGGCAGCUGCAGCUGAAGGUCGGGGCAGGCUGGACUGAUCUGAGGUCAGGUCAGAACUUCACCCAGGAGGACGUGGAGAUGAACCGCCUGUGGUACCAGCAGACUGCCACGCAGGGGCUCAGAGGACACGACGGCUUCCGCUUCCACCUAAGCGACGGAGACCACAUGUCGGCACCGCAUAGCUUUGUGAUCUCGCUGCAGGCCAUGGCCAGAGGGGACCUCACCCUCGUCACCAGGCCGGUGACCCUAACGGAAGGUGAGAGGGCUGUCCUGACGACAGACGUCCUGAUGGCGGCCGACGGCGUGGACAGAGCGGAGGAGCUGGUGUAUGUGGUGUUAGUGCCUCCGGAGCACGGGCAGCUGCACACGGUCCAAAACCCGGGAGUCCCCCUCGACACCUUCACCCAGCUGGACGUGGCUGCCCUGCGGGUCUGCUACACCCACGACAACAGCCGCAUGGCCUCACAGGAUGCGUUCAGCUUUGUUAUCAGCAAUGGAGUGGCAUCCAAAAAUGGGACUUUACUCUUCCUCAUCCGACAUGGCGACCGCAUCCCACCUACGCUGACCAACAAUAAAGGCCUCCGGCUGACAGAGGGCGCUGUGGUGCCAAUCUCCCCAGAUGCCCUAGAGCUGACCGACCCUGACACGGCAGCAGAGAACCUGACCUACACUCUGACCCAGCAGCCCCAACAUGGGAAGUUGCUCCUAAGAGGACACCCCCUUUCCCAGCCAAGGUUUACCCAGGCUGACAUUAACAACUGGGACCUGACCUACCAGCAUCAGAGCGGCCCAGCCCAGGCAGACAAGUUCUCCUUCCUGCCCUCCGAUGGCACCAACACAGGCUUCCUUCAGUAUGGCCAGCUGACUGAGGAGGCCGUUACCUUCACCAUUCAGGUGGAGUUUGUGGAUAGGAAGCCACCAGGACUGGUGACCAAGAGGAUCGCCAGUGUAGUGGAGAACUUUCCUGGAGGUAAACAAGGCAUCUACAUCACAUCCCGAGACCUGCGGGCCUCCGACCCCGACAGCCCCGAUCAGGAGCUGCAGUUCAUCAUCCUGAGACCCCCCCACUUUGGGCACUUGGAGAACACCCUCACAGGGGGCUACAUCAAAGGUCGCUUUACGCAGCAAGAUCUGAACCAGCGGGCUGUGCUGUAUGUCAUCUGGCCCAGCGUCCAGGGGACCGAGGACAGCUUUGAGUUCCAAGUCAGUGACCCUGCAGGAAACUCCAUGCCUCCAGAAGUACUGGAGGUGAAAUGGUCCCGAGUGGAGUUUUCGGUGACGUGUUUCCGUGUGUGUGAGAACGUGGGGAUGCUGGCCCUGCAGGUGACACGCACUGGGAACAGCGUAGACCCCGCCUACACUGGCAUCCAGGUGGAAAAUGGAACUGCAAAAAUAGGGAAAGAUUUUACCCACAGCUCAGCUAAUUUGAUCCAGUUUGAUCCAGGGGUGAACGUGAAGACGUGGAACAUUUAUAUUAAAGAUGAUGGGUUAGAAGAAACCAAUGAGAAAUUUCAGGUGGUCCUGAAAGGGCAGAAGAACACGGUUCUGGGCCAGAAAAACAGAACCACCAUUGAGAUUGUGGACCCCAGAGGAGGGUACUGUGACCCACAUGAGCUGCUUCCCGAUGAUGGAGAGGAGCGGUCAGCCCCCGCAGCCCCCGCAGCCCCUCCCAGCGUCCACAGCGGCCCCUCACAGCAUGCGGACCCGCUGAUCCCGGACCCAGACGCAGACCACUGGGAAAACUACCGUCCCCGGGGGGACGUUCCGGACAAGCAUGGCUUCCCGGAGGGGGGGGAGCCGCUGCAGGACCAGCCUGUGAGGAGGCCCCAGACAGCCCUGGGGAGACAUGGACACGUCGUUCAUCCAUCAGGCGUUGAGCUGAGGAACGGAGAGACAAUAUGGACAUUCCAUGGCAUCAAUCCUGCGCGGCCAGAGGGGAGAAACCUUCUGGGAGUGCAGUCAGCACCUCAGGUCCACCCCGAACUGGAGAUCAUGCCCAUCUGGAGCUGGUCCAGCCAUCAUCACAGGGACCAAGGAAGCGAGACUGCUGGGGGUGGCCAGUCUCCCCCUAGAACCCGCCUAGAAGGGCUCACGAAAAAGACUGAGGACUCCCCAGCUGACAUGUGUCCGUCUGGCUGGACGGCCCGAGAGAGCCGCUGUUUCAUCCUGAGUCACAGCAGGACGACCUGGAGCAGUGCACAGCACACCUGCACAUUGCUAUUUAACAGCAACUUAACAAGUGUCCACUCCAAACAAGAUAUGGCCUGGUUAUGGAAAUUUGCCAGAAAGCAGCCAUUUUGGAUUGGACUGACUGGCUACAGGGGACAGUGGGCCUGGACUGAUGGGAACUCGCUGACAUUUUCCAGACUCAAGAAGCAAAGCAGUACAGAAUUUCACUCCCAGGACAGGCUGGGCCUUCAGUGUGUGUUAGUCCAGAACCAGAAAAAAUGGACACCAAUGAACUGCACGACAGGACCAGAAUAUAAAUAUAUCUGCACAGUACCAGCCCAAAAUGUUCCACAACAAUAGCACAGAAUGUUUAAAAAGUAGCAUGCAAAGUCAUAUCAAUGCAAGAAAUGUGUUUAUGAAGGCCUGUUAUGUUCAUGAAGGCCUGUUAUGUUCAUGAAGGCCUGUUAGACUUUUUUUACAAAUCAGUUUUUUAUAAUCAAUCUGAGGGUCAGCCGCACAAAUAUAAGCAGAAUAACAGUCUGUUAUAUAUAUAAUUUAUACAGGUUUGGAUAUUUCCUGUAAGACUUUUUUACUGGUAGACCUCCGAGUGUACUGCAUGUAUACUUUUCUGCGAAGAGAGUCUCUGCUCUGCUUUAGAAGCUGAAGUAUACUUGGUCCCAAACUACAUAGAAUGUUUUAUGUAUGAUCUGUAUUCUCUUGCCAACAUAUUUAUACAUAUAUUUUUGUUAAUUAUGUACAUUUGUUGUUUGUUUUAAUGAGAUUUCACAACCCGUUUAAUAAAUUCAUGUAGUCCAGG
Molecule: non-coding RNA, 9018 nt
Organism: Paramormyrops kingsleyae
Lineage: Eukaryota; Metazoa; Chordata; Actinopteri; Osteoglossiformes; Mormyridae
Source: RefSeq, a predicted model, not a curated record